UGUCAUGGUCCGGGUGUGUGCCAGUGUGUCUCCCUCCGAGCCGGCGUCUCCACCCCUGGGAGGGGCCUCAGUGUUUUUGCUGAUCGUUGACAUCUGUGGGUAAUUAGCCGGGGGACUCAUAAGGCCAGCGUUCUCAAUCUCUCUUCGCCAGAUUCUCUGCUAAACAUCACUACACCUAACUGUUAAACCCCUGGCGAAGAGCUUCUACUUGGAUGCUGGACCUUCUGGCAGUCCCUCAGGCUACCACCAAAACUACCUACCUGCCUCUCUGCCUCCACGCCAGGAGCUUUUGGAUUUACACACCCGGAUUACUCCCCCUCUAUGUCAUCUCCGACCUCCGUUGUGACCCCGACCUUUUCCUGGACCUUUUGUGACUUGCUUUCCAGUCCAAUCCCCGGACCCGGACCAGAUCAUUAUUUAGUUAACGUCUACGCUCACCUUUUGUUUAUGAAUAUUUUGUGUGCAC
Molecule: long non-coding RNA, 466 nt
Organism: Astatotilapia calliptera (eastern happy)
Lineage: Eukaryota; Metazoa; Chordata; Actinopteri; Cichliformes; Cichlidae
Source: Ensembl